GAUUUCCGUAGGUGAACCUGCGGAGGGAUCAUUACACAAAUAUGAAGGCGGGCUGGAACCUCUCGGGGUUACAGCCUUGCUGAAUUAUUCACCCUUGUCUUUUGCGUACUUCUUGUUUCCUUGGUGGGUUCGCCCACCACUAGGACAAACAUAAACCUUUUGUAAUUGCAAUCAGCGUCAGUAACAAAUUAAUAAUUACAACUUUCAACAACGGAUCUCUUGGUUCUGGCAUCGAUGAAGAACGCAGCGAAAUGCGAUAAGUAGUGUGAAUUGCAGAAUUCAGUGAAUCAUCGAAUCUUUGAACGCACAUUGCGCCCUUUGGUAUUCCAAAGGGCAUGCCUGUUCGAGCGUCAUUUGUACCCUCAAGCUUUGCUUGGUGUUGGGCGUCUUGUCUCUAGCUUUGCUGGAGACUCGCCUUAAAGUAAUUGGCAGCCGGCCUACUGGUUUCGGAGCGCAGCACAAGUCGCACUCUCUAUCAGCAAAGGUCUAGCAUCCAUUAAGCCUUUUUUUCAACUUUUGACCUCGGAUCAGGUAGGGAUACCCGCUGAACUUAGGCAUAUCAAUAAGCGGAGGAAAAGAAACCAACCAAUC
RNAcentral lists this ribosomal RNA (591 nucleotides) under uncultured Clavulina. RNAcentral's name for it is "eukaryotic LSU rRNA". The stretch from base 200 to 353 matches the Rfam family "5.8S ribosomal RNA". Lineage: Eukaryota; Fungi; Basidiomycota; Agaricomycetes; Cantharellales; Hydnaceae. The record is from RNAcentral.